RNAcentral lists this long non-coding RNA (2149 nucleotides) under Gallus gallus (chicken). Its description in RNAcentral is "lncRNA (ENSGALG00000048594.1)". The record is from RNAcentral. Lineage: Eukaryota; Metazoa; Chordata; Aves; Galliformes; Phasianidae.
AAGGAUCAGUCCUCAGCUCUGAGAGAUGCUGGUGGCAGUUUGCCUGGCCUAAAAGUAGGCUCAAAUGCAUACCAGAACUGAGAAAAUACUGUGAUGGCUCUGCAGGAAGGAUGCUUUGCUGGAUCCCAACUCACACUGUACAGCAUUCUGAAAAACAGGGCUGGAGACAGAAGGAGCCUGAGGCCUGGCCGUAAAGCCCUCAAGAAACCUCUGUGUCUUGUAAUUUAAUUAACCCCAAGUCACAUUUGAGUAUCUUCUGAAAUGAAGGCAAGAUGCUAACCCACUUGCAUAGGAAAAAGCUUAUUCAGGAUGUGAUUUCCAUGCUCAUCAAACAGUGGAAACUGGAAUAAAUAGAAUUAAUGAACACUUGGACCGUUGCGGAAAGCGUCAGUAGAAGUUCCUAGAGGCAGAAGCUGCACUUUUCCACUCUACCUGCCCUUGAAGGAGACACUGCCUGUGAAAGGAAGGACAAUCGUGCUUGAAUUCUACAUUUUUUCCACCCAUCUCCUACAUCAAAGGCUCAUGAACAAAUGAGGAAUUAGAUUGGAAGCAAAGGUGAGAAGGAAAGGGUAGCUCUCCCACUGGGCAGAGGAACCCUGCAGAAAAACCACUGCUGAGCCUGGUGCUGCUCAGAGCUGCUAUAACUGGUCUGUCCAAGCCACCUAAAAUUGGUGCAAUGGUUGAGGAACUGCUGAAGGGUUUCAUAAUGUGGUAAGGUCAGGAAACUAAUUGUUUAUGCACAUAAAGCAGUGUGAGCUGGUGGAGCAUGCAGACAGAGAACAAACCAACCCUAAAUGUACCUUCUUGCUGCUACUGCGGCUUUGAAAAUAUAGAGUCCUCAUGGAUCACCCCAUGAAGACUGAUUAAUAUUCAGAAGCAAUCGCAAAGGAACACAGAUGUCUGGCAAUUACGUGGAGAGGAGCAGGAUGCAGAGCAGAACCCUGAAACAGCUGUGCACAUCCAUCAGUGGCUGCUGUCUUCCAAUUUCCCUUCCUCUAACCUCAGAAGUAUAUAUUGGCACUAUUGGGUAACAAAACUCACAAGAGUUCUGUUACUUCAGUGUCUUGUUUACGUCACUCUGACACAGCAACCUGCAAAGGUCCCUUCCGACCCAAACCAUCCUAUAAUUCCAUUAUACAGGAACAUCACUUUCCCCGUGGCUCUGUUUUUUGACUCCCUUGUAAGCUUCUUCCACUAAUUGCUGAUUAGACAGGCUGUUGAUCCUGGCGAUCCCUUGCUCACACACAAUAUGGUUGUUUUAAAGCUUAAAAUGUGGAGAGAAGAAGCCCCGUCCUUUCCAGUCUUGACAGCCAAGGAGCUGGUGAUGUAGCUUUGAGCACUGGGCUGCUCGUUGGACAGCAGGCCACAGCUUACAGCAAGGUUUGGUUUUCCCCUGUGCAUAACGUAAAGGGGAGAAUUAUCCUCUGCAAGUUACAGAGCUUCUGUAACUCUACCACCACUGCGGCCCUCUCCCCUCGAGCCAAGAUGAGGAUUUCAACCUCCAAAUUCCAGCCCUGAUUCUGGAAGUACCCACUAAUGAGAUGACAGCUACUUAUUUAUUUCUCUUAAAGAUACAGUCUUUAUCAUAAAAGAGCUGAAGGAGAUAAAAACAAUUUUUUUCCAUUAAUGUUACUCACAGUUUAUGGGAGAAAUGCAAUAAGAAAUACUCGUGGCGUGAGACUGAGAUUAAAAUAAUUUUAAAAUUACUUUUCUUCCUUUGAAAGCAAAAGUAAUUAACUCAGAAGUGCUGGCAAUAUUAGAUCAGCUCUGAGUGAUUAGUGCAUAUAUUUAAUACUUUAGUUGUCCAGUUAGAAGAAAUGCUAGGAGAUAGACAGGGUUUGUAACAAUUAUAUUAUCCCUACGUCAAAGAGGUGUUUGUUCUUUCUCAUUUCAGAGGGAGCCCAUGCUCAUGGAAAAGUCAAACUUUGCACAAGUCAUAAUUAACAGCAGGUAUAUUUACUGGGCCAAAUAAAUCCUUGGGAAUGGACAGAUGUUAAUUUCUCUGGAUGUUUAGGAAAAUAACUUUUUGGAGUUGUGUUUGCUGAGAUGAAGCCCAAAUUCUUGUCCUGUUGUCAAAGACUCCUGGAAGGAGCAGUGUAAAUGGGAGUGCAUUCCCUGCUCAGAAAGCAUUAAAAGCGUUAUCUCACUG